Molecule: ribosomal RNA, 404 nt
Filed under: uncultured bacterium
Lineage: Bacteria
Description: bacterial SSU rRNA
Rfam family: Bacterial small subunit ribosomal RNA
Source: RNAcentral
ACUCCUACGGGAGGCAGCAGUGGGGAAUAUUGCACAAUGGGGGAAACCCUGAUGCAGCCAUGCCGCGUGUGUGAAGAAGGCCUUCGGGUUGUAAAGCACUUUCAGUAGGGAGGAAGGUAGUGUAGUUAACACCUGCUAUUAUUUGUACGUUACCUACAGAAGAAGCACCGGCUAACUCCGUGCCAGCAGCCGCGGUAAGUACGGAGGGUGCGAGCGUUAAUCGGAAUUACGUGGGCGUAAAGCGCAUGCAGGCGGCCUGUUAAGUCAGAUGUGAAAGCCCGGGGUCUUAACCUCGGAAUUGCAUUUGAAACUGGCAGGCUAGAGUCUUGUAGAGGGGUUAGAAUUUCGAGGUGUAGCGGUGAAAUGCGUAGAGAUCGUGAAGGAAUACCGAGUGGCGAAGGCGG